CUUGACAUCCCGAUGCUAUUUCUAGAGAUAGAAAGUUACUUCGGUACAUCGGUGACAGGUGGUGCAUGGUUGUCGUCAGCUCGUGUCGUGAGAUGUUGGGUUAAGUCCCGCAACGAGCGCAACCCCUAUUGUUAGUUGCCAUCAUUCAGUUGGGCACUCUAGCGAGACUGCCGGUAAUAACCGGAGAAGUGGGGAUGACGUCAAAUCAUCAUGCCCCUUAUGACCUGGGCUACACACGUGCUACAAUGGUUGGUACAACGAGUUGCGAGUCGGUGACGGCGAGCUAAUCUCUUAAAGCCAAUCUCAGUUCGGAUUGUAGGCUGCAACUCGCCUACAUGAAGUCGGAAUCGCUAGUAAUCGCGGAUCAGCACGCCGCGGUCGAAUACGUUCCCGGGCCUU
RNAcentral lists this ribosomal RNA (399 nucleotides) under uncultured Streptococcus sp. Its description in RNAcentral is "bacterial SSU rRNA". It matches the Rfam family "Bacterial small subunit ribosomal RNA", at positions 980 to 1382 of the family's 1533-position model. Lineage: Bacteria; Bacillati; Bacillota; Bacilli; Lactobacillales; Streptococcaceae. The record is from RNAcentral.